CCCAGACAGCCAGGAUGUUGGCUUAGAAGCAGCCAUCAUUUAAAGAAAGCGUAAUAGCUCACUGGUCGAGUCGGCCUGCGCGGAAGAUGUAACGGGGCUAAACCAUGCACCGAAGCUGCGGCAGCGACGCUUAUGCGUUGUUGGGUAGGGGAGCGUUCUGUAAGCCGUUGAAGGUGUGCUGUGAGGCAUGCUGGAGGUAUCAGAAGUGCGAAUGCUGACAUAAGUAACGAUAAAGCGGGUGAAAAGCCCGCUCGCCGGAAGACCAA
Molecule: ribosomal RNA, 266 nt
Filed under: Pluralibacter gergoviae
Lineage: Bacteria; Pseudomonadati; Pseudomonadota; Gammaproteobacteria; Enterobacterales; Enterobacteriaceae
Description: partial 23S ribosomal RNA
Rfam family: Bacterial large subunit ribosomal RNA
Source: RNAcentral